UACAGAGGGUGCGAGCGUUAAUCGGAAUUACUGGGCGUAAAGCGCGCGUAGGCGGCUUUGCAAGUCGGGUGUGAAAUCCCCAGGCUUAACCUGGGAACUGCAUUCGAGACUGCAUUGCCAGAGUAUGGGAGAGGGAAGUGGAAUUUCCGGUGUAGCGGUGAAAUGCGUAGAUAUCGGAAGGAACAUCAGUGGCGAAAGCGACUUCCUGGACCAAUACUGACGCUCAUGUGCGAAAGCGUGGGGAGCAAACAGG
RNAcentral lists this ribosomal RNA (253 nucleotides) under uncultured bacterium. Its description in RNAcentral is "partial 16S ribosomal RNA". It matches the Rfam family "Bacterial small subunit ribosomal RNA", at positions 524 to 776 of the family's 1533-position model. The record is from RNAcentral.